Paramuricea clavata is the source of this 371-nucleotide non-coding RNA. The record is from the annotation of a GenBank genome assembly. Lineage: Eukaryota; Metazoa; Cnidaria; Anthozoa; Malacalcyonacea; Plexauridae.
AUUUGUUGUAGGCUAAAGUUUUAGGUUACAAAAUCGGUCUUUUAAUAAAGUAUAAAGUAUAAAUUAAAUAAUUUAUUAUACAUUACGGUGUUAGAGUAUCGAUCAGUUCAACAUAAUGCAAACAUUCCAAACUCCCCCGAGUUUUUCCGAGAGUCUCCCAAAAAUUCUUGCGAUCUCAUCAGUCUGGUCUGACUCCCGAUUUUUAUCAAUUUCUCAGCUCCCGAAUUUUCAGAAUAUUCAGGAAAUAUCAUAAAAAAUCAUAAACAUACUGCACGUUUUUAGCAACAUAAUAUAGUCUGUCUUGACCUUUUCAUGAAGUUACUUCAUGACAAGUAUAUAGGAUAACUUAUAACAACAUAUUCCCAAAAUCA